RNAcentral lists this ribosomal RNA (492 nucleotides) under uncultured bacterium. RNAcentral describes it as "partial 16S ribosomal RNA". It matches the Rfam family "Bacterial small subunit ribosomal RNA", at positions 29 to 507 of the family's 1533-position model. The record is from RNAcentral.
AGUGAACGCUGGCGGUAGGCCUAACACAUGCAAGUCGAACGGCAGCACAGUAAGAGCUUGCUCUUACGGGUGGCGAGUGGCGGACGGUUGAGGAAUACAUCGGAAUCUACUUUUUCGUGGGGGAUAACGUAGGGAAACUUACGCUAAUACCGCAUACGACCUACGGGUGAAAGCAGGGGAUCUUCGGACCUUGCGCGAUUGAAUGAGCCGAUGUCGGAUUAGCUAGUUGGCGGGGUAAAGGCCCACCAAGGCGACGAUCCGUAGCUGGUCUGAGAGGAUGAUCAGCCACACUGGAACUGAGACACGGUCCAGACUCCUACGGGAGGCAGCAGUGGGGAAUAUUGGACAAUGGGCGCAAGCCUGAUCCAGCCAUACCGCGUGGGUGAAGAAGGCCUUCGGGUUGUAAAGCCCUUUUGUUGGGAAAGAAAAGCAGCAGGUUAAUACCCCGCUGUUCUGACGGUACCCAAAGAAUAAGUACCGGCUAACUUCGUG